UCAAUCAAACCUGCAAAAACAAAAAUGUCUUCUUACACUUUCCGACUGAUCGCUUCUGCAGUGAUCAUUCUCAUGAUACACAUUAGUAGCGACGAAGUAACUGCACAACCCUCAUUUUCAACCGAGUACCAACGUCUAGGAGAUAAUUACACAAAUCCCAGCCAAUUUCAGGUGAAUCUAAACAAAGUUCUCUCUUCUCUGUCUUCCGACAUCACGGCAAGUGAUCGAAAGUUUUUCAACAGCAGCACUGGCAAUAACCUGGAUAAAGUAUAUGGUAUCUUACUCUGUAGAGGAGAUAUUACACAAAAAACCUGCAGGAUUUGUGCGGAAACUGCAAUUUCAGAGUUGACAGAACGUUGUCCAAACACGAAAGAGUACAUUACAUUUUACACUUACUGCAUGCUAAGAUACUCAGACAGAAAUAUAUUUUCUGUUAUGGAGGAAAAGCCAGAGAUCACUUUGCAAAACCGAGAGAGUUACACCAACCAGAAGGUAUUUAACGAUAUUGCAGCACAGUUAAUGAAAGGUCUAGCAAGAAUUGCUACUACAAAUGAAAACCACAAUGAGACUUUACUUUUUGCCACUGGAGAAAUAGAUUAUUCUUCAGUAGAUAAAAUUUAUGGCUUGGUUCAAUGUACUACGGAUAUAUCUACAAGCGACUGCAAUGAUUGCCUAAUGAGUGCAAUUGGUAAUAUCAGUGAUUGUUGUUACGGGAGGAAAGGUGGGAUAGUUCUUAAACCUAGUUGUAAUAUAAGGUAUGAGCCGUAUCCUUUCUCUGACUACAAACAAGAAACUAGUCCAGGUCCCCUUCCUUCAAGUCCUCCUCCAAAACCAAAUGUGACUGCAACAACAGGAGAUACUGGAACGAAAGACCGAGGCUGAUCACUCACCAGCUCCUUCCACUGCUUCCUUUCCUCCACGCUUAACACCUCCUUUCCCAGAGUCAUUAGAAUAUUCAACAAACGGAAAGGGGACGAACACCUUUAACAACUAACUAACUCUGAUCAUGCCUUUAGUUGUUACUCUCGUACUCGCAACAGGAAACCAGUGCCCUCAUUAGACUCCAAUCCCCAACUGCCUUCUUUGAGUGUAAUCAUCAAAUACAGUACUCAGGCAUGUCUGGCAAGUCUAAAUAAUGAUAUGUGAAUUAGCUUUUAUUUAUUAAGAUGCGUCAUUGCGUCCCCAGUAGUCAUCACAGAAUAUGUAUGUGUCUGUAAUACGUGCUCUGGAGAGUGUUAAUAAGGCUUUUCUAUGGCUUUUAAAAUGAUUGAAUUUGGUGUUUUGUUUUGUCA
RNA transcript from Papaver somniferum (opium poppy), 1292 nucleotides. It is a transcript of the gene named cysteine-rich repeat secretory protein 38-like, with no coding region annotated. The transcript is spliced from 3 exons. NCBI's taxonomy places the organism in Eukaryota, Viridiplantae, Streptophyta, Magnoliopsida, Ranunculales, Papaveraceae. The record is from RefSeq and is a predicted model, not a curated record.